UUUCUCCUCUUCUCUCCUCAUUCCUUCAUUUUCCCCUUAUCUUAUUUUCUUCUCUCAUCUCCCUUCAUUUCAUUCAUUUCUUCUCUCCUCAUUCCUUCAUUUUUCCCUUAUCUUAUUUUCUUUUCUCAAUUAUUUUCUUCCAUUUUCUCUUCAAUUUUCUUUCAUUUUUAAUCUUCCUUUUAUCUCUUAAUUUUUGUUUCAUUUUCUUUAUUUUCUCUCACAUUUUUUUU
Molecule: long non-coding RNA, 230 nt
Filed under: Manihot esculenta (cassava)
Lineage: Eukaryota; Viridiplantae; Streptophyta; Magnoliopsida; Malpighiales; Euphorbiaceae
Description: long non-coding RNA (MESC_LNC002137)
Source: RNAcentral